UCAGUGAAACAAGGCUGAAUAAAAGAAAGAAGGCUCGUAACUGUCAGAGCCAGGAGCCCACACAACAGCUGUGUGGGGCCAAAGCACGUGCCUCUAACCACUGCUCUGCUCCUGGCUUUGUUCUGGGGCUGGGCUGGAUUGUUGAGGACUGGGAGGGCCUGGACUGAGACCUAUGAAGUCAGACACCCUCGCCUGUCCCUCGGGACUGGCAGGCUUCUGUACUUUGCUGAGUAGCCAUCUCUCGGGGAGUCACCAUCUCUCUCAGAACCUCGGUUUCCUUCUCUGAGAAAUGGAGACAUUUACACCCAAAUUUAACUUCCAGGGGAUAAAUGCAGUGUCCUGUCUGUCCAGCAGGUGGUGCCAGGGACAUGCCAGUGCCCAGAGCCUGUGGAGUCCUGCCUUCCUGGCUUUCAAUGCUUGUUCCUGGGUACCCACAUUUGGGACAGAGGCAGCCUGGAGGCCGGGGCUGGGACUGUUUGGAUGUUGACAGCUGAGCUGCCACGCACACCAGGGCCUCAGAUCCCUUGCAGGAAACCAGAAUGGAGCUGAAUGUCGCCGCGAGAAUGUUCUUCUGUCGGGCUGGGUCUGAGUCACGGAGGGCUGGGUCUGAUUUGCCAGGAGGGCGCAGCUGAGGAUGCAAAGCCACGCUGGGCUGAGGACACCCACUGUGUCCAGAUCGUCUCCUCACCCCUCAUCCCAGCACAGGAGAUUUGCAGAAGCCCACACAGCCAGACCUCAUUUUAUUGCACUUGGCUUUAUUGUGCUUCGCAGAUACUGCUUUUUUUUUUUUUAACCAGUUGAAGGUUUGUGGUAACCUGGUGUUUUCAGAUGAUGGUUAGCAUUUCUUAGCAACAGAAUAUUUUUAAAUUAUGGUAUGUACUUUUUUUUAGACAUAAGGCUAUUAACACACUUAAUAGACUACAGUAUAGUAUAAACAUAACUCUUGUAUGCACUGGGAAACCAAAAUUUAUGUGACUCACUUUAUUGCAAUUUUUGCUUCAUUGAGAUGGUCUAGAACCAAACCCACAACUUCUCUGAGAUCUACCUGUAUGUGAUUCAACCUAUUUGGGCCCACCUCUUACCCUCACUGGCAUCAUUUAAAAAAUAUUGAUGGAGAGUCUACUGAAUACCAGCCCCUGUUUUCUAGGCCCAAAGUUACAUCAGUGACAAUUUCUUGGAGUUUGUUUUCUGCCGGAAAGAGACAUGAAAAAGCCAGUGGACACGGGUGUGUAAUGUGUCACAUGGCAUGAAAGCCAAUAAGAUAAAUCUGGUAGGAGGACAGGGACAGAUGUGGGAGACUAUUUUAUUUAUUUUUAAUUUUUUUUAUUGAAGUACCAUCAGUUACAAUAUGUCAAAUUCUGGUGUACAGCACAAUGUCCCAGUCAUGCAUAUACAUACAUAGAUUCAUUUUCCUGUUUGGAGACUAUUCUGAUAUCCAUCAGGGAAAGCCUCUCCCAGGCAGACCCCUGAAUGGAGAUGUAAGGAGGAGACAGCUGGUUCCAGGCAAAAGAAACAGCAGGUGUAAAGGCCCUGGGUUAGGAAGUCUCCUGGUGAGAUGGAGGAGGAGUGAGAAGGCCACUGGAGCAGGAAGGGUGGUGAUGAGGAGGAUAUGACAUCAGAGCGGGCAGGGACCAGGGCACAGAGGCGGCUGGUGGUUUUGGAGUUCAUGUCCAGAAUUGGAAAGGCAUUGGUGCAUUUUGAACAAAGAACAAGUGGUUUUCUCAUAUGAAAACAGAGCAAUCAAAACUCCCCACCUACCAGGCCUGCCCAUUUGAGUGUUUUCAAAAAUAAGCUGAGAGUACUCUGCAGAGUGAAACUGGUAUUAUAACAUUUUAUUUCUGUAAUAUGUUGUGCUUCUUCUAUUGUGUUUUAUGAAAUGUGUAGCAUUAUGAUGACAUAUAAUCCUGUUUGUCUGUUCUCUGUGCCGCGUCUCUGAUGAGCUUUAAAGCGGGGGUUUCAGGGUUCUCCUGGAGACAAGGUAUGUGUCUAGUGGGGGAGUUGCAGCCGCUCAGGCUGGUGGUGGGGGUGGGGAAGAGAAACUCUGGAGCCCUGGGGCUACGACUGUGUGACGCCAGUAGGCUGGGGAAGAGGCGGACCUCAUCCCUAAUGGUAACGGGAAUAAUAAGUGACACUGUUCUACACACUUGAUGGGUGUUGUCUACGUCUUCCCAGUAACUCCCUGGGCCGUUACCCCGUGAUAGGGACCGUCAGAGCCAGGGGUACUAACUCAUGUACCUGGACCUCAUGCUGCUGAGACCGCAGCCCACACGGGGGUCACCUCCCCACUGCCCUCCCUCGUGCAUUCUGUCUGGGGGACCCCAGUUCAGCCCAGGUGGUGAAUUGUGGGAUCAGAGCUGUCUUCACGGGUGUGUGACCCAUGUGAUUUCACAGGGAUCUGUGCUCAGAAGAUUCCGUGAUUGGCUUAAGCUCUGCUGCCCCGGACUACAAGUUCUUAAUUUUUGAACAAGGGGCUCGGCAUUAUUAUUGUGCACUGGGAACCACGAAUUAAGAAGGUGGUCUCGCAGGAGGAUACAAGCCAAUCGUAGGGUCCCGCCCCUUUGCCUGGGAUUGGUGGACGUUUACCCACGUCUGACCAAUGAGACGCAAGCGUUGUGCGGUGGGGCUGCUGGGAAAGCCUUUUCUCCCGGAAAGAGGCGGCUCUGAGGAACUGUUCCCCCUGUGCCUGUGCCUUCCUGCUUUGGGUUCUGGCUACUUGGGUACUUCUUUCCACGUCUGCUGCUAACUCCCUAAUCUAGAUAAUCAUCUUUUGCCUAGAAUAUUCCGGUCUCUUCACUGGUCUCCCUGCCCCACACUCCACCCACCCCCCCCCCCGCCUCACCUGCAGCCAGAAGGAGCCUAUUAAAUCUAAGUCAGGCCAUGCCCCUCCUCACUCAGACCCUCCAGGAACUUCCCACCUUACUCUGAGUAGAAGCCCAGGACCCCUUCCCCUAUAAGGCCCUGCUUGAUCCCUGCCCCACCCCCUCUCCGACCUCCUGCCCUUGUUCUCUGCUCCUCACUCACUCUGUUCCAGCCACCUUGGCCUCACUGUUCCUCAGACUCACCAGACAACUGUCUCAGGGCCUAUGCACGAGCUGUUCCCUGUGCUGGGAUUGUUCUUCCCCAAGGAAUCCUCAUGGUUCCCUCCCCUAGUCCUUCAGGUCUCUGUUUGUGAGUCAGGGAGAGCCGGAGUGGGAGCCUGGGCUGGGACCCUGAUGACUCAGCGGAGCCCCUUCCAGCCAUGGUCCUCCUGCUCCAGGAUUCUCAUUGAGAGAGGUAAGGAAGUGCCAGGUGUUGGCACCUUCACCAGUGUCAUCUCCCAUUACUGCGGCUGAAAUCCUCUCACGGGGACAGUGGCUGGAAUUUGCACCCAGGGUUCCAGCUGGGGUAUGAGGGGGUGGGGGUAGUUGGAGGCAGGACCUCGGCUCCUGUCCCCGAAUUACUGCAGUGGCAUUCAGCUCUUCCACCUUCCUGCCCAGAAGUCCUGAGGGGUCCAAUCCAUGAUUCAGUCCCCUCCUGGGCGAGCCUUACCCAGCCUUUGCCAGCAUGUGGGGAGGGCACUGCCCUGUACUGCUGUUUCCCUUCCAGCACUUUUCAGGCCCAGGUUCCUGGUGCAGAACUGUCGCAGCAUCCCCACCAUGUGACCCCUCCAUGUGACCCCUCCCUGCUGCCCUGGGUUUGGCCUCCAGAUCUUUCCAGAUCCUUGCUGUUACAUCGCUCUCUGUCUAAUCAAAGGCAAUCCAUCCUCCCUCUGGCCCAGCUGAGGGACGUGUGCAUCACAGUGCACAAGGGCCAGCGGGUAACCGGGAGCUGCCCGCAGUUACCUAUCUGUGCUUCGUCAGCGCCCUCCUUGAGCUGUGGGGGUAACAAAUGGGGGUGUUUCAGACACCAUAACAGGAGGGGAUGUUCCAGGAACAGGAACACUACAGGCCGCAGGCUGAAGGAGGGCCAGCCCUGUGGGGGCCACACAGAUGUGCCACACUCCUUCCUGGCUUUUGGCCCAAACAGCUCUUAAGAAAGGAACAUGGGGAUGACCCUGGCAGGUGGGACUUGUUUCCAUGGUGUGUGGCUGACAUCGGAGGGUGAUAGAGCUACAGGCUGCUGGGGACCAGCCCGUCAGGAGAGGGGAGGAAGCUCGGGUGCAGGUGACAGGGCUGCCUCUCCAUCCAUCGUGCCACCUGCUGUCAGGGAGCUGGCGGGAGUCCUGACUGCUGUCGCCUACUGGGGCAUGGGAAGGGCUGCCAAGCCUGUGUCCUAGCAGUGGCCAAGCCAGACCAGGGUCCUGUUUGCAGAGCCUCAGCUGUAAAAAAGGGGCCGGAACCACCUGCCUCCCUCACCCAUGAACCUCUCCUCUGUUCCAGUUGAGUCCAACUCAGUAUCUGACCCUGUCUAAUGGUGGAGGCCCAGAAUGUCUGACCCUGCCUGAUGGGCACUAAAGGAAAUUAAGACUCCCUCCUCCCGAUUAAUAGAGGAACAGCAUCCCUGUAUCCGUCUGGGACUGAGAGUCAAUGUGCUGUGCAGUGUUAAUUGAACACCUACUAUGUGCUGGAUACUGUUCAUGUGUGCACGUCAAUUCCCUGAUUCCUCCCAGCAGCCCUGCGAGGAGCACUGUGAUGACCACCCUCCCGUUGUUGUGGAGAUGGCGGAGGGGAUGGAGGGGUUCACUCAGGGUUACAAGGUCAGGAGCAUUAGAGCAGGGAGUUUGGGCACAUGGCGUCUGAUACCAGGUUCUCGCUCCCAGUCUCCAGGCUGGCCCACCGUUCCUGGAGUGAGAGACGCUGUUGCUGAGCCCAGGGCCUGUCAGAGAUCGGAGCCCCAGGAUGAUUCCCUCUGGGGAAGGGGCGCUCCUGGUAUAGAAAAAAUGAAGACAUGGCAGAACAGGGUUGUGAAGACCACGGGCUGAAGAAAUGAAGCUUCCGUGAUGCUGUUCACAGAAUGAGAACUACAUUGAUUAAAAGCAACCACACUAAUUCCAGCUCAUUGGCCAGAACGAAUCGCAUGGCCCAUGGCCGCAGGGGACCAGGAGAUGCAGCCCUGCGGGUGCCCGAGGGUGGACACCAUCAGUGACUUCCGGAGGUUCCCCGGAAGAUAGACCUCAGCAACUGCCUGCCAGUACAUGGUGAGCGGUAGCCAUUGGGGUGGGGAUCCGAGUGGAGGUGAAGGGAGGGGUGGCCCCACCUCCUCCUUCAUGACUCAGGUUCAGUAACGGAUGCCUCAGUGGAGAACAAUGUGGCCUGUAGCUAAUUCUCCUCCCUCAGAUCUCCACUCCUGGGUAAUCCCUGUAAUAGCAGAAAACUAACCUUGUGAGGAGGUAAAAACAGGAUUUGUUUGAUUCUGCAGGAAUCGUGCUUCUGUCUACAUUUCAAUUCCCAAAGAGAAAGUUUGUUGCAGAAAGGACUUCUGUCUUAAUGACAGCCAUAAAUAAAUAGUAGUCUCACUCACAGAUGUUGAGUGUGUGACUCUCACAAGCCUUCCAGGCUCACACAAACCUCCCCAUCAGCGCCCCUGGCCCUCAGAGACCCAAUUAAACAAACACAGGGUCCGCCCGAGAGCAAACGUGGGACAGGAGCCCCGUGUAGAAGGUGGUUCUUACGACUCCUCACUUAGGAGAGUGAACUCUCGUCUCCACUCUGCACGCUGGGGACGCCAGCUUAGGUGCUAGAAUUAGUGCAGAGACAGUUCAGCCUGACUGAUUGCCCGGGUGCUCCUGCCUGGGCCGGGCAGGGCUCCCACAUUUCAGGCCCCCCCAUAGAGGUGGAGAUGAGGGGGGUUCAUCCUGGCCUCUUGCGUCAUCCUCUGUAUUUGGCUUCCCCUCCACCUGUCGUCACCCAUUCCUCAUGCCAGGCUCUCUGGGCACAAGGGGCCAUUCUCAGGGGCCCACCUUGAUGUGGGAGAGGGGCCUGUUCCAUUAGGUAGGUCUUAGCGCCUCCACCUGGGGCCUCCGUGACCACUUUGUCGGAGGAAGCCCCUGCCUCCUGUGGAGUCUCUUCCUGUUCUGUCACCCUGUAGUCUUUUCUUCAUGGGCUUUAUCAAAUCUGUGAUCCUACUCAUGUGAUUAUUGAUCAUCUCCCCCAUGAAAGCCAGCUCCAUGGGGUCAGGACUACGGCUAGUCCAAGGCUGGGGCUCCAGGACGUCGCACAGUAUAGAACAUAGAGUAUACUUAAUACGUUUUCACUAAGUGAGGGAGUGUAGGAAUCAAUGGAUGGAUGGAUGGAUGAAAACUUCCCCUGGGACUGUAAGUAGGUGCAGCUCAAAACUCACCUGUGUCAUGUCCUGUCUCUGUCCAAGCUUGCCACGUCUGAGAACUAACGAAGAACUCAUUGGUGCUAAUAAAUAUGUAUUAGUUCUUUUAAUAUGAGAUGUGCAUAUUUUAAUGAGGAAUGUCUAAAGACUCAGGUUUUUCAUCUGGGGAAGUGACCCCAAUAAUGAGAAUGCAAAGUGAUGGUGAUGAGGAGAUGUGGGUAUUUAGGGCACGGAGGGCUGGAAGGAUGUGUCACAUCACAGAAUUGAGAAGGCCUCCUGGGUGCGGUGUAGGGUGGCGGGGGUGGGGUGCUCCGUAGUGGAACCCAGCACAGGACCAGAGUGAGAUCCCAGCUCAGCCUCUGCCCAAAUAUCUGACUUCCUUGGCCUCAGCGUUCCUAUCUGUAAAUGGGGAUCGUAACCCACCCCUGACAGGGGUAUCAGGAAAGGAAUUCUGUCCUUUGUGAAUCAGUCUCUGCUCACCAGAUAGAAGAGGUUAUGGUAAUGAGCAGGAGUGGCUCUACCUGUCACAGAUGGAAUAUUUUUGGUUUCAAGAAACAGAAAACUCUCUGCUCUUUUUGAUGAUGGCCUUGUUGACAGGUGUGAGAUGAUGUCUCAUUGUGAUUUUGAUUUGCAUUUCCCUGAUAUUAGUGAUGUUGAGCAGCUUUUUAUGUUCCUGUUGGCUAUCUGCAUUUCCUGUUGUGGAAAAAUGUCUGUUCCAUUCUUCUGCCCGUAUUUUAAAUGGACUAGUUGGUUGGUUGGUUGCUUUUUAACUGAAGUACAGUUGAUUUAAA
Molecule: non-coding RNA, 7031 nt
Organism: Vicugna pacos (alpaca)
Lineage: Eukaryota; Metazoa; Chordata; Mammalia; Artiodactyla; Camelidae
Source: RefSeq, a predicted model, not a curated record